Molecule: transfer RNA, 72 nt
Filed under: Ovis aries (sheep)
Lineage: Eukaryota; Metazoa; Chordata; Mammalia; Artiodactyla; Bovidae
Rfam family: tRNA
About the family: Transfer RNA (tRNA) molecules are approximately 80 nucleotides in length. Their secondary structure includes four short double-helical elements and three loops (D, anti-codon, and T loops).
Source: Rfam by way of RNAcentral
AUCCUGAUAGCUCAGCUGGUAAAGAAACUGCCUGCAAUGCAGGAGACCCUGGUUCAAUUCCUGGUUUGGAAA